AGCCUCUGGGAGAUAGAGUCAGAUUCUGGGAGACUCUCAGCGAAACCGGGAGGGUGGGCAACCCUACUUCAGGGAAAACACCAAAGAUCACAAGUCUUGUGAGAAAAUCUCAUUGGCAACACCGACUAGUGCCCUUUCACACUCUGCAGUAGCUGGCUUGACAUAGCUGACUAUAGAGUUGGGCCUCACUCAAACACGUGCUGAUAGAAAGGCGGUGAAGGAAGGCAUCAGUGACAGCCCUGGGAGCUCCUGCCAACACAGCCCCGGCAGAGGACUCUGUGGCAGAAAAAGUGCAGUGGGCUCAGUUCCCCAUCCAAGCAGAUACUGCAGAGG
Long non-coding RNA from Mauremys reevesii (Reeves's turtle), 333 nucleotides. RefSeq lists it as uncharacterized. Lineage: Eukaryota; Metazoa; Chordata; Testudines; Geoemydidae. The transcript is spliced from 3 exons. The record is from RefSeq and is a predicted model, not a curated record.